UGUUCCUCUGGUUUUUAUAGGUUCGACUAUUUGACAGUGUGCACUACCUAAAGGCAUUUGGAGUAGGAGAUGUGUGGGUUGCUCUUGGAUGGAGCAGUGAUGUUCUGCCGGCUGCCAAGCGCAUGUCAAACGUUGCAGUAAUUGUUCCAAAGUCUGGAACCAGUUUGUGGGCAGAUCUAUGGAUUUUUUUGAUGAUACUGUUGCUCAAAGAGCUAUCGACUUCAUGUUGGGAUGAUUUUAGCAGAUGCAAUGGGGCUUGGAAAGACUGUAAUGACUAUUGCAGUAAUACUUGGAAAACUAUUUAGGGAGAGUCCAGAUGACCAACAAGUUGAAGAACAAAAUCAGGAUUUUGACAACAAGAAAACAAAGAAUGGUCAGAAAGAUCCUCAAACCAAAAGCCUGCCCACAGUUAAAGGAGGAACUCUUGUUGUCUGUCCAUUGGCAUUGUUAGGCCAGUGGAAGGUAAGAUUUCAUUUCAUUCCAUAAAAUGUUUACUACUAAUCUUGUAGUUAAAGUUGGCAUUCUUUUAAUGAUGCAAUUGAAUGAAAAAUUAAAAUAGCGCAUUGUUGUCUGUCCAAUGGCAUUGUUAGGCCAGUGGAAGGUAAGAUUUCAUUUUUUCCAAUUGUUGAACACACUUCAGUCAAUAGCGCAUCCAAACACAGCCUUGUUGCCU
Molecule: RNA transcript, 673 nt
Organism: Magnolia sinica
Lineage: Eukaryota; Viridiplantae; Streptophyta; Magnoliopsida; Magnoliales; Magnoliaceae
Gene name: DNA repair protein RAD5B-like
Exons: 3
Source: RefSeq, a predicted model, not a curated record